This 220-nucleotide ribosomal RNA is filed under the name uncultured Streptococcus sp. Its description in RNAcentral is "partial 16S ribosomal RNA". It matches the Rfam family "Bacterial small subunit ribosomal RNA", at positions 1163 to 1382 of the family's 1533-position model. Lineage: Bacteria; Bacillati; Bacillota; Bacilli; Lactobacillales; Streptococcaceae. The record is from RNAcentral.
UCGGAGGAAGGUGGGGAUGACGUCAAAUCAUCAUGCCCCUUAUGACCUGGGCUACACACGUGCUACAAUGGUUGGUACAACGAGUUGCGAGUCGGUGACGGCGAGCUAAUCUCUUAAAGCCAAUCUCAGUUCGGAUUGUAGGCUGCAACUCGCCUACAUGAAGUCGGAAUCGCUAGUAAUCGCGGAUCAGCACGCCGCGGUGAAUACGUUCCCGGGCCUU